Long non-coding RNA from Hibiscus syriacus, 588 nucleotides. RefSeq lists it as uncharacterized. Lineage: Eukaryota; Viridiplantae; Streptophyta; Magnoliopsida; Malvales; Malvaceae. The record is from RefSeq and is a predicted model, not a curated record. The transcript has 3 exons.
CCAAACCCCUCCUUCCUUUCUUCUCAUCCAUGGCGUGCACCGCUAACGCCUUCUCUCUUUCUAUCUCCUCCAACCCCAACACCAAUUUCUCAUCCGACUCCAAUCCCAAGCUUAAUAAACCCCUCAACCUUACCCUCCGCGGUUCCGGUUCCGGUUCCGGUGAGUCGAAUCUGGGAAUAUACCUUGUGUUAUCCAUUAAAGUGGUCAAACUUUCUUCCUGGUGUGCUUUGUGAAUGUGUAUAACUGUCCUUGUCUACUUGAAGCAACGAUAUUAUACGCCGGUGAUUUUGUCAUCUUUGCGAUCUAUAUUUCUUCAAGCAUUAAGUGAUCCGCUGUUGAUCAUUACAGGGAUCCUGAUGCGCUGGCUUAUGCUAUAAAGCGAUCGUGUGAAAACAAGGCUGAGGUUGUCUCAUUAGAUGAGAAAGAAAGUGGUUGAGGGCUACACUGAACUUGGGGCGUACAUUUGGUCAUGCAAUAGAAACUGGGUUUGGAUAUGGAGAGGGCUUCAUGGAGAAGCUGUUGCAGCUGGCACGGUUAUGGCUGUUGACAUGUCACACUGCCUCGGUUGGAUCGACAGGUCAAUUUUCA